Molecule: non-coding RNA, 46 nt
Filed under: Schistosoma mansoni
Lineage: Eukaryota; Metazoa; Platyhelminthes; Trematoda; Strigeidida; Schistosomatidae
Source: RNAcentral
GCACUGCUGAAGAGUCCCACACUAGGACGAAACGGCUGUCCAGUGC